GGGGUUGUGGCUCAGUGGUGGAGUGCUAGCCUAGCACACAAGAGGCACUGGGUUUGAUCCUCAGUACCCCA
RNAcentral lists this transfer RNA (71 nucleotides) under Marmota marmota marmota (Alpine marmot). It matches the Rfam family "tRNA". From Rfam's summary of the family: Transfer RNA (tRNA) molecules are approximately 80 nucleotides in length. Their secondary structure includes four short double-helical elements and three loops (D, anti-codon, and T loops). Further hydrogen bonds mediate the characteristic L-shaped molecular structure. tRNAs have two regions of fundamental functional importance: the anti-codon, which is responsible for specific mRNA codon recognition, and the 3' end, to which the tRNAs corresponding amino acid is attached (by aminoacyl-tRNA synthetases). tRNAs cope with the degeneracy of the genetic code in two manners: having more than one tRNA (with a specific anti-codon) for a particular amino acid; and 'wobble' base-pairing, i.e. permitting non-standard base-pairing at the 3rd anti-codon position. The record is from Rfam by way of RNAcentral. Lineage: Eukaryota; Metazoa; Chordata; Mammalia; Rodentia; Sciuridae. RNAcentral also lists the same sequence under 1 other name.